RNAcentral lists this ribosomal RNA (538 nucleotides) under Bacillus subtilis. Its description in RNAcentral is "bacterial SSU rRNA". It matches the Rfam family "Bacterial small subunit ribosomal RNA", at positions 341 to 869 of the family's 1533-position model. Lineage: Bacteria; Bacillati; Bacillota; Bacilli; Caryophanales; Bacillaceae. The record is from RNAcentral.
ACGGGAGGCAGCAGUAGGGAAUCUUCCGCAAUGGACGAAAGUCUGACGGAGCAACGCCGCGUGAGUGAUGAAGGUUUUCGGAUCGUAAAGCUCUGUUGUUAGGGAAGAACAAGUACCGUUCGAAUAGGGCGGUACCUUGACGGUACCUAACCAGAAAGCCACGGCUAACUACGUGCCAGCAGCCGCGGUAAUACGUAGGUGGCAAGCGUUGUCCGGAAUUAUUGGGCGUAAAGGGCUCGCAGGCGGUUUCUUAAGUCUGAUGUGAAAGCCCCCGGCUCAACCGGGGAGGGUCAUUGGAAACUGGGGAACUUGAGUGCAGAAGAGGAGAGUGGAAUUCCACGUGUAGCGGUGAAAUGCGUAGAGAUGUGGAGGAACACCAGUGGCGAAGGCGACUCUCUGGUCUGUAACUGACGCUGAGGAGCGAAAGCGUGGGGAGCGAACAGGAUUAGAUACCCUGGUAGUCCACGCCGUAAACGAUGAGUGCUAAGUGUUAGGGGGUUUCCGCCCCUUAGUGCUGCAGCUAACGCAUUAAGCACUC